Molecule: ribosomal RNA, 1084 nt
Filed under: Klebsiella ornithinolytica
Lineage: Bacteria; Pseudomonadati; Pseudomonadota; Gammaproteobacteria; Enterobacterales; Enterobacteriaceae
Description: Raoultella ornithinolytica partial 23S ribosomal RNA
Rfam family: Bacterial large subunit ribosomal RNA
Source: RNAcentral
ACUUCGGGAGAAGGCACGCUGAUGGUAGGUGAAGUGACUUGCUCAUGGAGCCGAAAUCAGUCGAAGAUACCAGCUGGCUGCAACUGUUUAUUAAAAACACAGCACUGUGCAAACACGAAAGUGGACGUAUACGGUGUGACGCCUGCCCGGUGCCGGAAGGUUAAUUGAUGGGGUUAUCCGUAAGGAGAAGCUCUUGAUCGAAGCCCCGGUAAACGGCGGCCGUAACUAUAACGGUCCUAAGGUAGCGAAAUUCCUUGUCGGGUAAGUUCCGACCUGCACGAAUGGCGUAAUGAUGGCCAGGCUGUCUCCACCCGAGACUCAGUGAAAUUGAACUCGCUGUGAAGAUGCAGUGUACCCGCGGCAAGACGGAAAGACCCCGUGAACCUUUACUAUAGCUUGACACUGAACAUUGAGCCUUGAUGUGUAGGAUAGGUGGGAGGCUUUGAAGUGUGGACGCCAGUCUGCAUGGAGCCAACCUUGAAAUACCACCCUUUAAUGUUUGAUGUUCUAACGUAGACCCGUGAUCCGGGUUGCGGACAGUGUCUGGUGGGUAGUUUGACUGGGGCGGUCUCCUCCCAAAGAGUAACGGAGGAGCACGAAGGUUAGCUAAUCCUGGUCGGACAUCAGGAGGUUAGUGCAAUGGCAUAAGCUAGCUUGACUGCGAGCGUGACGGCGCGAGCAGGUGCGAAAGCAGGUCAUAGUGAUCCGGUGGUUCUGAAUGGAAGGGCCAUCGCUCAACGGAUAAAAGGUACUCCGGGGAUAACAGGCUGAUACCGCCCAAGAGUUCAUAUCGACGGCGGUGUUUGGCACCUCGAUGUCGGCUCAUCACAUCCUGGGGCUGAAGUAGGUCCCAAGGGUAUGGCUGUUCGCCAUUUAAAGUGGUACGCGAGCUGGGUUUAGAACGUCGUGAGACAGUUCGGUCCCUAUCUGCCGUGGGCGCUGGAGAAUUGAGGGGGGCUGCUCCUAGUACGAGAGGACCGGAGUGGACGCAUCACUGGUGUUCGGGUUGUCAUGCCAAUGGCAUUGCCCGGUAGCUAAAUGCGGAAAAGAUAAGUGCUGAAAGCAUCUAAGCACGAAACUUGCC